This 369-nucleotide ribosomal RNA is filed under the name uncultured organism. RNAcentral's name for it is "bacterial SSU rRNA". It matches the Rfam family "Bacterial small subunit ribosomal RNA", at positions 526 to 896 of the family's 1533-position model. The record is from RNAcentral.
CGUAGGGUGCGAGCGUUAAUCGGAAUUACUGGGCGUAAAGCGUGCGCAGGCGGUUUAGUAAGACAGGCGUGAAAUCCCCGGGCUCAACCUGGGAACUGCGCUUGUGACUGCUAAGCUAGAGUACGGCAGAGGGGGUGGAAUUCCACGUGUAGCAGUGAAAUGCGUAGAGAUGUGGAGGAACACCAAUGGCGAAGGCAGCCCCCUGGGUCGAUACUGACGCUCAUGCACGAAAGCGUGGGUAGCAAACAGGAUUAGAUACCCUGGUAGUCCACGCCCUAAACGAUGUCAACUAGGUGUUGGGAGGGUAAACCUUUUAGUACCGGAGCUAACGCGUGAAGUUGACCGCUGGGGAGUACGGCCGCAAGGUUA